Molecule: non-coding RNA, 203 nt
Organism: Pelobates cultripes (western spadefoot toad)
Lineage: Eukaryota; Metazoa; Chordata; Amphibia; Anura; Pelobatidae
Source: the annotation of a GenBank genome assembly
GACUGUUUGUAAACAUUUUACAACACUGCAGGAACAACGCAGGUCAAUUGUAUGCAGGGAUGAUAGAAAUGCGCCUCGGCAUAUGGAAUUUCAGGAGUACAGAUAAAAGCCGUAGGGGAGGCAAGAGAAUGAAUAGGUAGGCCAAUCGCCACAUAUACCCAAAAUACCAGAACGAAAACCUCACUCGGGAACUUUCAGCCACU